This 69-nucleotide transfer RNA is filed under the name Pipa carvalhoi (Carvalho's Surinam toad). RNAcentral's name for it is "tRNA-Pro". It matches the Rfam family "tRNA". Rfam says of the family: Transfer RNA (tRNA) molecules are approximately 80 nucleotides in length. Their secondary structure includes four short double-helical elements and three loops (D, anti-codon, and T loops). Further hydrogen bonds mediate the characteristic L-shaped molecular structure. tRNAs have two regions of fundamental functional importance: the anti-codon, which is responsible for specific mRNA codon recognition, and the 3' end, to which the tRNAs corresponding amino acid is attached (by aminoacyl-tRNA synthetases). tRNAs cope with the degeneracy of the genetic code in two manners: having more than one tRNA (with a specific anti-codon) for a particular amino acid; and 'wobble' base-pairing, i.e. permitting non-standard base-pairing at the 3rd anti-codon position. The record is from RNAcentral. Lineage: Eukaryota; Metazoa; Chordata; Amphibia; Anura; Pipidae.
UGAGACAUAGUUAAACUAGAAUGCUGGCUUUGGGGGUCAGUGGUGAGGGUUGAAGCCCCUCUGUCUCAA